RNAcentral lists this microRNA precursor (202 nucleotides) under Oryza punctata. RNAcentral's name for it is "MIR1435 microRNA precursor family". It matches the Rfam family "MIR1435 microRNA precursor family". Lineage: Eukaryota; Viridiplantae; Streptophyta; Magnoliopsida; Poales; Poaceae. The record is from Rfam by way of RNAcentral.
GACAUUUUUGUAAAGUCAAACUUCUUUAGGUUUGACAAAAUUUAUAGAAAAAAUAUAGCAAUAUAUUCAAUACAAAACAAAGAAACUAUCAAAAUAUGUUCAAUGUUAGAUAUAAUAAAACUAAUUUGGUGUUAUAAGUGUUGCUAUAGUUUUCUAUAAACUUGAUCAAACAUUCAAGAAGUUUGACUUUAAAAAAGUCAAA